UACGUAGGGAGCAAGCGUUGUUCGGAUUUACUGGGCGUAAAGGGCGCGUAGGCGGCGCGGUAAGUCGGGUGUGAAAUCUUGGAGCUUAACUCCGAAACUGCAUUCGAUACUGCCGUGCUUGAGGACUGGAGAGGAGACUGGAAUUUACGGUGUAGCGGUGAAAUGCGUAGAUAUCGUAAGGAAGACCAGUGGCGAAGGCGGGUCUCUGGACAGUUCCUGACGCUGAAGCACGAAGGCCAGGGGAGCAAACGGG
RNAcentral lists this ribosomal RNA (253 nucleotides) under uncultured bacterium. RNAcentral describes it as "partial 16S ribosomal RNA". It matches the Rfam family "Bacterial small subunit ribosomal RNA", at positions 524 to 776 of the family's 1533-position model. The record is from RNAcentral.